Molecule: unclassified non-coding RNA, 270 nt
Filed under: Hevea brasiliensis (rubber tree)
Lineage: Eukaryota; Viridiplantae; Streptophyta; Magnoliopsida; Malpighiales; Euphorbiaceae
Source: RNAcentral
GUAAGAACGACAGGAACUGCAUCGGGAAUGGUUUCAAGGGUGUCAAUACCUUCAUUUCCACUCCUGUCUGGUGUCUUAUCAACAGAGUGAACAUAAAUAGGUUUCUGUGAAAGGCCGAGCGCCGACAUAUUAGCACCCAAGAUCUGAACAUCCACAAGGUGAUCUUCAGUGGCCACAACAUUCUCCAGUGUGGCAUGACUCAAUGUCUUCAAAAAAGAUAAUGGAGCUUCAAAGACUCUAACAACUUUCUCUUCGGCUCCGCUGACAAAG